CCUACGGGUGGCAGCAGUGAGGAAUAUUGGUCAAUGGGCGCGAGCCUGAACCAGCCAAGUAGCGUGAAGGAUGACUACCCUACGGGUUGGAAACUUCUUUUAUAAAGGAAUAAAGUGAGGCAAGUGUGCCUUUUUGGAUGUACUUUAUGAAUAAGGAUCGGCUAACUCCGUGCCAGCAGCCGCGGUAAGACGGAGGAUCCGAGCGUUAUCCGGAUUUAUUGGGUUUAAAGGGAGCGUAGAUGGGUUGUUAAGUCAGGUGGGAAAGUUUGCGGCUCAACCGUAAAAUUGCAAGUGAUACUGGCAGUCUUGUGUACAGUUGAGGUCGGCGGUCUUCUUGUUGUCGCUGUGCCAUUCUUAGAUAUCAC
Molecule: ribosomal RNA, 365 nt
Filed under: uncultured bacterium
Lineage: Bacteria
Description: partial 16S ribosomal RNA
Rfam family: Bacterial small subunit ribosomal RNA
Source: RNAcentral